RNAcentral lists this ribosomal RNA (253 nucleotides) under uncultured bacterium. RNAcentral's name for it is "partial 16S ribosomal RNA". It matches the Rfam family "Bacterial small subunit ribosomal RNA", at positions 524 to 776 of the family's 1533-position model. The record is from RNAcentral.
UACAGAGGGUGCAAGCGUUAAUCGGAAUUACUGGGCGUAAAGCGCACGUAGGUGGUUUGGCAAGUUGGAUGUGAAAGCCCUGGGCUUAACCUGGGAACUGCAUUCAAUACUACCAAGCUAGAGUAGAGUAGAGGGAAGUGGAAUUUCCGGUGUAGCGGUGAAAUGCGUAGAUAUCGGAAGGAACACCAGUGGCGAAGGCGGCUUCCUGGACUCAUACUGACACUGAGGUGCGAAAGCGUGGGGAGCAAACAGG